This 3333-nucleotide ribosomal RNA is filed under the name Triticum aestivum (bread wheat). RNAcentral's name for it is "partial small subunit ribosomal RNA". Lineage: Eukaryota; Viridiplantae; Streptophyta; Magnoliopsida; Poales; Poaceae. The record is from RNAcentral.
AUGGUCGAGGCGGUGGCCGGCUGGCUGGUGUGCCCGGUCAUACGGAUCGUCGUCGACAAGGCCAAGUCCUGCGCCGCCGACCGGGUCAGGUGGCUCAACGGCGGCGUCCCCGAUGCGCUCCAGCAGCUGGACGGGGCGCUCACGCAGCUCCGCGCCGUGGCGAGCGCCGUCGAGCGGAGCAGCGGCGCGAGGGGCAGCGGCGGCGACCUCGACCGGUGGCUGCUGCAGCUCAAGGACGCCGUCUACGAGGCUGACGAGGUCGUCGACGAGUUCGAAUACCGGACGCUCGGCCCCCCGCGCUCCCCCCUUGUCAAGAUCGGCAAGCAGCUCGUCGGCACCGACGAGUCGCUAAACAGGCUCAAGGGCGUCAUCAAGAAGCUGGACGGCAUCAACGACAGCUCCGGGCGGCUGAUGCAGGCGGCAGGCCUCCAGCCGUCGUGGUCCGGCGAGUUGAGCGGCCACCCACCCACCCCGGUCGGCCCGGCCACAGGCUCGCUGCUGGAGGACAGCGAGGUGUUUGGGCGCGACGCGGAGCGGAAGGACAUGGUGUCUUGGCUGAUCGCCGCCAGCCCGCCCCACCGCGCAGAUCCGCGCGCCGCCGCCAUCCCCGUGGCCGCGAUCAUAGGGCUCGGCGGGAUGGGGAAGACCACGCUGGCGCGCGUCCUGCUCCACGACGAUUUGGUGAAGGAGACAUUCAAUCUGGUGAUGUGGGUGUGUCCUUCUGCCGCUUACCACAAGGUCGGGCUCCUGAAGCAAAUCCUGCAGUCUGCUGGGGUAGAAUUUCCUGACAGCAUGAACAACUUUGACUGUCUCCAGAGGCGGCUCGAGGAUGCCGUGUCAUCCAAGAGGUUCCUGCUGGUUCUCGACAACGUCUGGAACAAAGGGGGCAUGGACGAGGAUAACUGGAGCGAGGUCUUGGCUCCUCUCAGAUGUGGCCAGCCCGGCAGCAAGAUCAUGGUCACCACCAGGAAAAGGAUUGUAGCAAACUUGCUGAAGGCGAGCAAGCUGGUUCCGUUGGACGGACUGGCGUUCGCCGAUGUUUGGUCGCUGUUCACGAGGAUUGCUUUCAGCAAUGACAGCGCUGACAAGCAUCCAGCCUUGCAGGCAAUUGGAGAGCAGCUUGUUCAGAAGCUCAAGGGGUUGCCAUUGGCUGCCAAGGUCGUCGGCGGGAUGCUCAAGGCUUCCCAGAGUAUCAGCCACUGGAAGAGGAUCUCAGAGAUGGAAAGCUAUGCCAAUGUAACCUCAACGCUAGAGCUAUGUUACCGGAACCUGCAGGAGCACCUGCAGCCGUGCUUUGCAAUCUGCAGCAUAUUUCCGAAGAGCUGGCGGUUCAAGCGUGACAAGCUGGUUAAGAUUUGGAUGGCCCUUGAUUUCAUCCGGCCAGCUGAUGGGAGGAAACUGGAGGAUGUAGGGAAGGAGUACUUUGAUCAACUUGUGGAGGGGUCCUUCUUCCAUGAGCGCAAAGAGGGCCAUCAGAAUUACUAUUACAUUCAUGACCUGAUGCAUGACCUGGCAGAGAGUGUCUCACAAGUUGACUGUGGAAGAGUUGAGAGUGCUGAGGAGAAGCAGAUACCUCGUACAGUUCGGCACUUAUCUGUUACUGCUGAUGCUGUCACGCAGCUCAAAGGUCGGUGCGAGCUCAAAAGAUUGCACACAUUCAUAAUUCUAAAGCAUUCCUCGUCUUCUCUCAGUCAAUUGCCAGAUGAUAUCCUCAAGGAAUUAAAGGGUGUCCGUGUGCUUGGUUUGGAUGGCUGCGAUAUGGUUGAUCUAUCGGAUAAAAUUGGUCAACUGAUGCACCUGAGGUACCUUGCUCUUUGCAAGACAAUUACAAGGCUUCCACAGUCAGUGACAAAACUGUUCCUUCUUCAGACCCUAAGCAUCCCUAAGAGGUGCCGCCUCGAGCAGUUUCCGAAAGAUAUGCGGAACUUGAAAUAUUUGCGCCAUUUGGAUAUGGACAGGGCAAGUACGUCGAAAGUUGUGGGUAUUGGGGAACUGAUUCAUCUCCAGGGAUCAAUUGAGUUCCAUGUUAAAAGGGAAAAAGGUCAUACGUUGGAAGAUUUGUCUGAUAUGAAUGGUCUCUGCAGAAAGCUCCAUAUCAAGAACCUUGAUGUUGUAUCCAGUAAACAAGAGGCCAGCAAAGCUGGCCUGGGAAAGAAACAGGGUAUUAAGGUGCUGGAACUAGAAUGGAAUUCCACUGGUAAGAGUGACCCUUCUGUCGAUGCUGAAGUGUUAGAAGGCCUUGAACCGCACCCGCAUGUUGAAGAGGUCCGUAUCAGAAGAUAUCAUGGUGAUAAGUCACCGUGUUGGCUGGACAUGAGCUUGAGGGAGGGAAAUAAAUUGUGCCUACUCAAAUCUUUAUAUUUGACCAACUGUAGGAAGUGGAAGGUCCUGCCUCCCCUUGGGCAGCUUCCCUGCCUGAAGGUUUUGCAUUUGAAAGAGAUGUGCUCACUGAGAAAGAUUGGCAGUGAGUUCUAUGGAACCAAGUUGAUUGCAUUUCCAUGUCUGGCAGAACUUGAAUUUGAUGAUAUGCCACAAUGGGUUGAGUGGACCAAAGAAGAGAGCGUGACCAAUGUUUUUCCCAAGCUCCGUAAGCUGAGUCUUUUGAACUGUCCCAAAUUGGUUAAAGUGCCUCCUUUCGCUCAGUCCAUCAGGAAGGUCACUGUCCGAAACACAGGGUUUGCUUCACACAUGAAGCUAUCCUUCUCAUCAUCAUCGAGAGCUUGCAGUGUUGCACUAGAGACAUGUUGCACCACCAUCCUUACAAUAGGCUUGCUGCACCGGCAACAGGUGGAAGCAGUUGCAGUUUUGACUCUGCGGCGCUGCCAAGGCGUAAAGUUUGAGGACUUUCAGGCACUUGUCUCACUGAAGAAGCUGCAUAUAUCUCAUCUAGACAUAACAGAUGAGCAGCUGGGUACUUGUUUGCGAGGUCUACGAUCGCUUACCUCUCUGGAGAUAGACAACUGCAGCAACAUAACAUCUCUUCCACAUGUCGAGAGUUCAAGCGGAUUAACGACGUUGCAUAUUCGACAGUGCUCCAAGUUGUCCUCUCUGCAUUCCUUGCCGAGUUUUGCAGCACUGGAGAGCAUGUGGAUCGACAAUUGCUCCAAGCUCACCGUAGAGUCUUUCCCCGGCGACUUCAGCAGCCUCGGUUCUCUGAGAAAAUUGAACAUAAUGUGCUGCACGGGGCUGGAGUCGCUGCCAAGCGGCUUCCCGUCUUCACUGCAGGUUCUUGAUCUGAUUGGGGGCAAGCCAGCGCUGUUGAACCAGCUGCAGCUCAAGGACGGGCCAGAAUGGGAUAAAAUAGCUCAUAUCCCGAUUAAACGGAUCCACUGA